GCGCCCAUAGCUCAGGGGACAGAGCAGCGGUCUUCGGAACCGUCGGUCGGGGGUUCGAAUCCCUCUGGGCGCGUCA
RNAcentral lists this transfer RNA (76 nucleotides) under Chloroflexota bacterium. Its description in RNAcentral is "Chloroflexi bacterium tRNA-Arg". It matches the Rfam family "tRNA". From Rfam's summary of the family: Transfer RNA (tRNA) molecules are approximately 80 nucleotides in length. Their secondary structure includes four short double-helical elements and three loops (D, anti-codon, and T loops). Lineage: Bacteria; Bacillati; Chloroflexota. The record is from RNAcentral.